AGACAGGUGCUGCAUGGCUGUCGUCAGCUCGUGUUGUGAAAUGUUGGGUUAAGUCCCGCAACGAGCGCAACCCUUAUCCUUUGUUGCCAGCGGUCCGGCCGGGAACUCAAAGGAGACUGCCAGUGAUAAACUGGAGGAAGGUGGGGAUGACGUCAAGUCAUCAUGGCCCUUACGAGUAGGGCUACACACGUGCUACAAUGGCGCAUACAAAGAGAAGCGACCUCGCGAGAGCAAGCGGACCUCAUAAAGUGCGUCGUAGUCCGGAUUGGAGUCUGCAACUCGACUCCAUGAAGUCGGAAUCGCUAGUAAUCGUGGAUCAGAAUGCCACGGUGAAUACGUUCCCGGGCCUUGUACACACCGCCCGUCACACCAUGGGAGUGGGUUGCAAAAGAAGUAGGUAGCUUAACCUUCGGGAGGGCGCUUACCACUUUGUGAUUCAUGACUGGGGUGAAGUCGUAACAAGGUAACCGUAGGGGAACCUGCGGUUGGAUCACCUCCUUA
Molecule: ribosomal RNA, 501 nt
Filed under: Enterobacter hormaechei
Lineage: Bacteria; Pseudomonadati; Pseudomonadota; Gammaproteobacteria; Enterobacterales; Enterobacteriaceae
Also listed under: 2 other names
Description: bacterial SSU rRNA
Rfam family: Bacterial small subunit ribosomal RNA
Source: RNAcentral